UACGUAGGGGGCAAGCGUUGUCCGGAAUUAUUGGGCGUAAAGCGUGUGUAGGCGGCUCGGUAAGUCUGCUGUGAAAGUCCAGGGCUCAACCCUGGAAUGCCGGUGGAUACUGUCGAGCUCGAGUCCGGAAGAGGCGAGUGGAAUUCCUGGUGUAGCGGUGAAAUGCGCAGAUAUCAGGAGGAACACCAAUGGCGAAGGCAGCUCGCUGGGACGGUACUGACGCUGAGACGCGAAAGCGUGGGGAGCAAACAGG
RNAcentral lists this ribosomal RNA (253 nucleotides) under uncultured bacterium. RNAcentral describes it as "partial 16S ribosomal RNA". It matches the Rfam family "Bacterial small subunit ribosomal RNA", at positions 524 to 776 of the family's 1533-position model. The record is from RNAcentral.